CCUACGGGAGGCAGCAGUGGGGAAUAUUUGGCAAUGGGCGCAAGCCUGACCCAGCAACGCCGCGUGAAGGAAGAAGGCUUUCGGGUUGUAAACUUCUUUUGUCAGGGACGAAGCAAGUGACGGUACCUGACUAAUAAGCCACGGCUAACUACGUGCCAGCAGCCGCGGUAAUACGUAGGUGGCAAACGUUAUCCGGAUUUACGGGGUGUAAAGGGCGUGUGGGCGGGAAUGCAAGUCAGAUGGGAAAACCACGGGCUCAACCUGUAGCCUGUAGUUGAAACUGUAGUUCUUGAGUACUGGAGAGGCAGACGGAAUUCCUAGUGUAGCGGUGAAAUGCGUAGAUAUUAGGAGGAACACCAGUGGCGAAGGCGGUCUGCUGGACAGGAACUGACGCUGAGGCGCGAAAGCGUGGGGAGCAAACAGGAUUAGAUACCCGAGUAGUC
Molecule: ribosomal RNA, 443 nt
Filed under: uncultured bacterium
Lineage: Bacteria
Description: partial 16S ribosomal RNA
Rfam family: Bacterial small subunit ribosomal RNA
Source: RNAcentral